CAUGACCAGAUAAGGACCGCUGCGUCGACGCGGCCAAGCGCGAGCGUAGGAGCUUAGCUCUUCAAUCGAGCGGCGGACGGGUGAGUAACACGUGGGCAACCUACCCUUUAGACUGGGAUAACUACCGGAAACGGUAGCUAAUACCGGAUAAGUUGUAACGACAUAAGUCUGUAACAAUGAAAGGCGGAUUUAUCUGUCACUAAAGGAUGGGCCUGCGGUGCAUUAGCUAGUUGGUGAGGUAGUGGCUCACCAAGGCGACGAUGCAUAGCCGACCUGAGAGGGUGAUCGGCCACACUGGGACUGAGACACGGCCCAGACUCCUACGGGAGGCAGCAGUAGGGAAUCUUCCGCAAUGGACGAAAGUCUGACGGAGCAACGCCGCGUGAGUGAAGAAGGGUUUCGGCUCGUAAAACUCUGUUGUUAAGGAAGAACACUUUAGGUAGUAACUGGCCUAGAGAUGACGGUACUUAACCAGAAAGCCACGGCUAACUACGUGCCAGCAGCCGCGGUAAUACGUAGGUGGCAAGCGUUAUCCCGGAAUUAUUGGGCGUAAAGCGCGCGUAGGCGGUAGAAUAAGUCUGAUGUGAAAGCCCCCGGCUCAACCGGGGAGGGUCAUUGGAAACUGUUUUACUUGAGUGCAGAAGAGGAGAGUGGAAUUCCAUGUGUAGCGGUGAAAUGCGCAGAGAUAUGGAGGAACACC
This 700-nucleotide ribosomal RNA is filed under the name Jeotgalicoccus marinus. Its description in RNAcentral is "bacterial SSU rRNA". It matches the Rfam family "Bacterial small subunit ribosomal RNA", at positions 1 to 710 of the family's 1533-position model. Lineage: Bacteria; Bacillati; Bacillota; Bacilli; Caryophanales; Staphylococcaceae. The record is from RNAcentral.